UACGUAGGGUGCAAGCGUUAAUCGGAAUUACUGGGCGUAAAGCGUGCGCAGGCGGUUGUGCAAGACAGAUGUGAAAUCCCCGGGCUCAACCUGGGAAUUGCAUUUGUGACUGCACGGCUAGAGUGUGGCAGAGGGGGGUAGAAUUCCACGUGUAGCAGUGAAAUGCGUAGAGAUGUGGAGGAACACCGAUGGCGAAGGCAGCCCCCUGGGUCAAGAUUGACGCUCAUGCACGAAAGCGUGGGGAGCAAACAGG
Molecule: ribosomal RNA, 253 nt
Filed under: uncultured bacterium
Lineage: Bacteria
Description: partial 16S ribosomal RNA
Rfam family: Bacterial small subunit ribosomal RNA
Source: RNAcentral